RNAcentral lists this long non-coding RNA (562 nucleotides) under Mytilus galloprovincialis (Mediterranean mussel). The record is from RNAcentral. Lineage: Eukaryota; Metazoa; Mollusca; Bivalvia; Mytilida; Mytilidae.
GAAGCAAUUUCUGUAGCUAAAUUUCAUAUUGAAUUUGCUGGAACUUGUUACACACACCAAAAACUAAAUUGUGUAUCUAAAAAUUGGAUAAAAAUAUUUACACUUUUUUAGCAAUAUUGAUUGUACAAGAAAAUCCACAUUUUUGUUUAAAAAGGCCCAGAUAUGAGAAUUACAGAGUGACUGAGCAGGGUGAAGUAGGCUAAGGGAAGAACAAUGAACAAAUUUUGUUUCCAUUAUGUACUAAUUUAUAUGAGAAAGAAUAUUCUCUAUAAUUCUGACAUGAAUGAUUAUAACUCUGUAAAAGUAUAUUAGCAUAUUUUAUUUUGUAAUUCUGUGAUAAAAUUGUACAAAGAACAUGUAAUUUAUUUUGUAAUAGUUUGUUUUAUUAUAAACCAUUUUACAAAUAAAACUGACAGUUUUAUGAUAUAUUUUUACUUUGUAUUGUUAAAUAUAGAUUUAAGAAGAUGUGGCAUGAGUGCCAAUGAGACAACUCUCCAUCCAAGUCACAAUUUUUUAAAAGUAAACCUUUAUAGGUCACAAGUAAGGUCUUCAAUACACAGCC